UCGCUUCCUUCACACCGACUUCACAAAGAGUUCGCUUCCGCACGUGCAGGACUCAGCAGCAAGGGCGUGGGACGCGCAGGCGCCGGGAGCCCACAGGGUGGAGACCGGAGCGAGCCCGCCCUUCUCCAGCCGCGCGGCCUUUCAUUCGCGCCCCCUAUCGGCAGGGCCAGCGGGGCCGCAGAAGCGUGGCUCGCAGGGCCCAGCCGCAUGCACCGAGCUGAGCGCGCGCUGGCCUGUGUGGAGCCCAGGCAAGAACGGAGUAAUUGAUACAGAAGAGGCUUUGCGUUUUCAGGAAUGCACUGUCCCCUUUCCAGGAGCUCUGCAAGGGAGCAGGAAUGCCAGAAAGUAGCCUGUGCAGAGGCAGGAGAAUGGGAGUCCGCCACAGACUGUCUCUUUCCCCCCCCGGCCAGAGUCUCAUCCAGCCCUGGGGAAGGAAGACACCUGGUGGCAAUCAUGCACCCCACCACCUGUCCAGAUCUUAGCUCGUGGCGUCACCCCUGAGGCUGGAACAGUCUCUGAAGAGGGACUGCACAGUUCCACGGGGAACUGUGGAGGAAAACACAGGCCUGGCCUGCCAGCAAGGGAGCAAAGGGGCAGGGGAGUCCCAGAAAACGCUCUGGUCAGUAGACGCUUGAAGAUAAAACUCCGCCAUAGAAGGGUCCUCCAUACAAACAGGUAGAGCAAAAUGGACCACAUCUGCAAUAAAACUAGGUAGCAAGUUUUAUCCACAAGCCUCAAGAUGAAAGCUAUUGGGGACAAAUUCCCUAUAGCUAAGUCCAUGUGGCACCAGCAUCUGGAAGGAGUAAGCCGAGGGAAGCAACACAAUAUCUUAUAGAUCUGAGAGCAGAAGACUCAAAGCACUCCUGGAUAAUUACUGGACAGUAGUGGGCUUAUUUGUAAACAGCAGAUGAAAUAGGGAAAACAUUUUUCAUUUCCGUUCACAUGUGAAUGCAAAGAGUUUAAAGAAGUGUUCA
Molecule: long non-coding RNA, 974 nt
Organism: Homo sapiens (human)
Lineage: Eukaryota; Metazoa; Chordata; Mammalia; Primates; Hominidae
Exons: 2
Source: RefSeq, a predicted model, not a curated record